This is a non-coding RNA of Salmo salar (Atlantic salmon), 54 nucleotides long. The record is from Rfam. NCBI's taxonomy places the organism in Eukaryota, Metazoa, Chordata, Actinopteri, Salmoniformes, Salmonidae.
UGCAUGUAUAACUGUAAGUCACUUUGGAUAAAAGCAUCUGCUAAAUUGCUUAUA